RNAcentral lists this long non-coding RNA (211 nucleotides) under Panax ginseng (ginseng). Its description in RNAcentral is "long non-coding RNA (PGIN_LNC000787)". Lineage: Eukaryota; Viridiplantae; Streptophyta; Magnoliopsida; Apiales; Araliaceae. The record is from RNAcentral.
GCAAUUAGAGGUUCCAGAAGUAGAAGGAAAAAUCUUCAGUAGAAACUUUUCUUUUUUGGGUUUUGAGUUGUGCAAGCAACAAAGUAAGAAAGUAUGAUCUGUUUACCUCUGCAUUACCUUCCGAUCUGUUUGUCUCUGCUUUGCCUUUCGAUCUGUGAGGGAGCGAGAAUCGGGAAAAGAGAAGAUGGAAGACCCAGUUCUUUGUGAGUGA